UUAAGUUCAGCGGGUAGUCCUACCUGAUUUGAGGCCAGAUGUUAUGAAUAUUAAUCCGAAGAUCAAUGGAUUAGAAAGCGGUCUUUAGUCCUGCAACAGGGCCAUCCGAAGAUGUCCUUAGCGAAAUACUUAUUACGCCAAGUCAAACCAUGUCACGAGACAGAUCCAGCUAUUACUUUUAAGACGAGCCGACUUCGACA
This 200-nucleotide unclassified non-coding RNA is filed under the name uncultured Tremellomycetes. Its description in RNAcentral is "sequence contains ITS2". The record is from RNAcentral. Lineage: Eukaryota; Fungi; Basidiomycota; Tremellomycetes.